RNAcentral lists this ribosomal RNA (253 nucleotides) under uncultured bacterium. RNAcentral's name for it is "partial 16S ribosomal RNA". It matches the Rfam family "Bacterial small subunit ribosomal RNA", at positions 524 to 776 of the family's 1533-position model. The record is from RNAcentral.
UACGGAGGGGGCUAGCGUUGUUCGGAAUUACUGGGCGUAAAGCGCGCGUAGGCGGACCUGCAAGUCGGGGGUGAAAGCCCGAGGCUCAACCUCGGAACUGCCUUCGAUACUGCGGGUCUCGAGUCCGGGAGAGGUGAGUGGAAUUCCUGGUGUAGAGGUGAAAUUCGUAGAUAUCAGGAGGAACACCGAUGGCGAAGGCAGCCUCCUGGGCCAGCACUGACGCUCAUGCACGAAAGCGUGGGGAGCAAACAGG